UCUAGAGAAAAGCAAACUUUCCGAAAGGAUAGGACGCAAAGCCGCAGAUCUAAGGCAAAUGCUAAGAUGGCUGGGCUGCCACA
This is a regulatory RNA element of 83 nucleotides. It matches the Rfam family "c-di-GMP-I riboswitch aptamer". Rfam says of the family: GEMM was predicted in a large-scale screen for bacterial structured RNA regulatory elements. Genes associated with GEMM are involved in a diverse array of functions, including chemotaxis regulation, signal transduction, secretion and chitin. The record is from Rfam.